This 259-nucleotide ribosomal RNA is filed under the name Salmonella enterica. RNAcentral describes it as "partial 16S ribosomal RNA". It matches the Rfam family "Bacterial small subunit ribosomal RNA", at positions 1 to 258 of the family's 1533-position model. RNAcentral also lists the same sequence under 1 other name. Lineage: Bacteria; Pseudomonadati; Pseudomonadota; Gammaproteobacteria; Enterobacterales; Enterobacteriaceae. The record is from RNAcentral.
AAAUUGAAGAGUUUGAUCAUGGCUCAGAUUGAACGCUGGCGGCAGGCCUAACACAUGCAAGUCGAACGGUAGCACAGAGAGCUUGCUCUCGGGUGACGAGUGGCGGACGGGUGAGUAAUGUCUGGGAAACUGCCUGAUGGAGGGGGAUAACUACUGGAAACGGUGGCUAAUACCGCAUAACGUCGCAAGACCAAAGAGGGGGACCUUCGGGCCUCUUGCCAUCAGAUGUGCCCAGAUGGGAUUAGCUAGUUGGUGAGGU